RNAcentral lists this long non-coding RNA (1187 nucleotides) under Homo sapiens (human). RNAcentral's name for it is "non-protein coding LINC02475:11". Lineage: Eukaryota; Metazoa; Chordata; Mammalia; Primates; Hominidae. The record is from RNAcentral.
CUGCCACGCAGCAACUGCCACACAGAAGAAGGAGGGACUGCAACUGCCAUGCAGCAACUGCCACACAGAAAAAGGAGGGGUUGCAACUGCCACGCAGAAAAAGGAGGGGUUGCAACUGCCACGCAGCAACUGCCACGCAGAAAAAGGAGGGGUUGAAAAGGGAGUAGCUUCUGAUAUUCAGAAGCUAUUGGAAGAGAUGCUCAAAGAAGAAAAAAUUACCAUAAUCCAAUAAAGAAGAAGACCUGAGAUCCAGGAAGCAGAUGAUCUGAACUGCAGAGAAAGUUCAGGAAAGUUCCCUCAUUCAUGAUGAUGGGAAAUAACAGUAAAUUCUGUACAGCAGUCUUGGACAACAACCAAUCUAAACUGGCACAGUGCAGAGGCAAUCAACAGAGAACAUAAUAUUGAUAGAAUGCCUGACGCUUUUGAUUGUAUUCACAGGAAACAUAAACAAUUGGAAGACAGUUUAUGAAUGAAUUAGUGAUAAGCAUUUUUUUUCAACUUUUAUUUUAGAUUCAAGGGUACAUGUGCAGGUUUGGUGCCUGGGUAUACUGGGUGAUGCUGAGGUUUGUGUUACAAAUGAUCCCAUCAUCCAGGUACUGAGCAUGGUAUCCAGUAGUUAGUUUUUAACCCUUCUCCUGUCUCUCUCCUGGUGGUCCCCAGUUUCUACUGUUGCCAUCUUUAUGUCCAUGAGUAUACAAUGUUUAGCUCCCACUUGUGAGAACAUGCGUAUUUGCCUAUUUAAUUAUUUGUUUAUUUGUUGAGACAUAGUUUCACUCUCUAGCCCGAUCUUGGCUCACUGCAACCUACGCUUCCUGUGUUCAAGCGAUUCUCUUGCCUCGGCCUCCCCAGUAGCUGAGAUUACAGGCACCUACUACCAUGCCUGACUAAUUUUUGUAUUUUAAUAGAGAUAGGGUUGCACCCUGUUGGCCAGGCUGGUUUCAAAUUCCUGAUCUCAAGCGAUCCACUCACCUUGGCCUCCCAAACGGCUGGGAUUACAGGCUUGAGCCACCACGCCCAGCCACUAUUUGCUUUUCUAUUCCUGCAUUAAUUUGCUUAGGAUAAUAGCCCUCAACUUCAUCCAUUUUGCUGCAAAGAAAAUAAUUUUGUUCUUUUUUAGGGCUGCAUAGUAUUCCAUGGUGUAUAUGUACCACAUUUGUUUUAUUUAAUCCACUGUUGAUGGACACCUG